UCUGGGGAAACAACGCGAGUUGGCAGCCCUCCCAACGAAUAUGGUGCGAAAAGAGAAUCCGUUGUCGGAAGAAACACGAGGGAAGGAAUCGUCAUUAUAUUUGAAAGUAAACUUAUCAUCGAAAAAUGUGCUCCCGCCGCAACCGAAAAUUGUGAAUUGAUUGAAAACGUCGAGGCGACUAACGUUAUGUUCAGUUUGCCAACAAAUCGCAGCCCGGACGAAUCGACAGAGCCAGAAAAAGAGUGUGUCCGUGUGCGUUUGCGAUUGCGUUAGUGUGCGUGUUGUGUGACGGUCCGCAGUCGGUGCGAAAGAGGAGCGCAAAGAGAAGUGUGGAAAGAAAAGAGCGGCAACUGAAGGACGUGUCGCGGUCGUGGUCUCGGUCUCGGACUCGGGAGGAGUGCCAAAGGAUUAAUAGUACCUGGGCUGAUCGCCUGCCAAUGCACAGCAAUUAGCUGGAGCAUCGAAACAGGAGCCGGAGCCGGAACCGGAGCACCCCCCACACCCUACCCCCGCAAUAAAAUUUGAAUCCGGUAGGCGCCACCGCCCACCACCCACCACCCACUCAAGAUUCCACCUCAAACUCCCCGGAGCAUCGACAUGCCCGUCUCGGUGGCCGUCUGCGAGACGACGAACGUCGUUAACGCUGCGCUGCGCGAGUCGCUCGGCGUCGGCAUCGGAAGCGGUGGCGGUGGCGGUGCGGCUGCCAGUAGGGCGUCUGCUGCUUCCGCCAUAGCUUCCAGCGACGACAAAUCAGCCGGCGAGGACACAAAUAGCCUUCAAAAUCACAUCGUGGCGAAUGCCAAGCGCAUUCUGAUGACCAAAAUCGAGUACGAGGAGGUGCCAAACUACCAGGAGGCUGUGCUGGAGAACCUCAAGUCCAAGUACAUCGUCAUCAAGCCGACAAAUCCCACAAAUGGCUGCAAUCUGAACGGCAAUACCGCCAACACCUUUGGGAAUAAAAACAAUGCUGGCAAAAUUGUGGGCGCAAAUGGACAUGACAAUAACGGUCGCAAACUGUCGGACCAUCCCAAUCAAAAUCACAAUCAUGCGAAUCCCAAUGGACACCAUGCCAAUCCCAAUGAGCUGCCCAAACCGAAGAGAGUGCUGUAUCCGCGCGAGAAUAUACGCAUCGGAUGGAAGCAGUCGGAACGGAAGUGGCAGGUGGGCUCUGGGAUGAUCAACGCCGGCAACACCUGCUACCUCAAUUCAACACUACAGGCGCUGUUUCACAUCCCGGCCCUGGCCAACUGGCUGGUCUCCGAGCAGGCGCACAUGGAGAACUGCAAUGUCUCGGAGUCGGGCAGUUUCUGCAUCAUAUGCGCCAUGGCGAAGACGUUACAGGCCACCCAGACCACCCAGUCGGCUGUUAGGCCGUUCCUCAUCUACACCAAGCUGAAACAGAUCUGCAAGCACAUGAUCGUGGGACGGCAAGAAGAUGCCCACGAGUUCCUGCGAUUCCUAGUCGAGGCCAUGGAGCGGGCGUAUCUCAUGCGCUUUCGUAACUACAAGGAGCUCGAUCAACUGGUUAAGGAGACGACGCCCCUGGGACAGAUCUUCGGCGGCUAUCUGCGCAGCGAGGUGCGCUGUCUGAGCUGUAACCAUGUGUCCAUCACGUUCCAGCACUUCCAGGACCUGCUGCUCGACAUCCGCAAGUCAGACUCGCUGGAGGAGGCCUUCGAGGGAUACUUCUCCCGCGAGAAGCUGGAAGAUUUUGGUUACAAGUGCGAGGGCUGCAAGAAGAAGGUCUCUGCCACAAAACAGUUUCGUUUGGAGCGGGCCCCCAUCACGCUGUGCAUCCAGCUGAAGCGCUUCUCCAUGAUGGGCAACAAGCUGACCAAGCAGAUAACGUUCAAGCCCCGCAUCGACUUAAGCAAAUUCGCAGCCCGCUCGCCAGCGGCGUCUGUCCAGCCACUCAUAUACCGCUUGGUGUCGAUGGUGACCCACCUGGGUGUCUCCCAGCACUGUGGUCACUACACGGCCAUCGGAUCAACGGAAGCUGGAAGCUAUUACAACUUUGACGACAGUUAUGUCCGACCAAUAGCGAUACAGAGCGUUUGCAACACCAACGCCUACAUCAUGUUCUACGAGCUGGACCCCCUGCAGACAUCUAGUCCGGCGGCGGCCCGUGCUAACGGCCUGCGACUGACCAACGGUCAUGGUCCUGUGCCGGUGGCAGUGCCGGCCACUGUCUCAUCGCCAUUACCCUCGCCCGCCAAGUUCAUUGGACCACAGCUGCCGCCCGGCGGCAUCAAUGGCUAUAGCAACGGUCAUGGCCCCAAAACGACUAUACAAUUCAAACCACAGCACCAACCAUCCCAUCAGCAAAACGGUGUCCAGCAGUCUGCCAAGUCUCCAUUGCUUAGCACACAUGUUAAGGUUGAAGCUGCCGCAGGAGCAGCAGCAUUAGCAGCAUCAGCAGCUCCAACUGCAAAUGGUAACAAAAGUUCCUCCAAUCACAGCAACCACAAAUCAGUUAACCAGCAACAUUAUCUGCCAAUUUCCUCGGAGGAUGAGGACAGCGAGGAUGAAGUGAAGGCGCGGCCCACUGUCCAGUUGCCCAGUAUGCCAAAAAUGGACGACUGCAUGGACAGCGGCAAGCCAAAGUCGCCGGUGAAGACUCCGGUCAAGACGCCGUUGAAAAGCCUGGUGCCUUAUGAGUCGGCCUCCGAAGAAGAGGAGGUGGUACCACUGCCCAAUCCCAAUGCCCGUAAACGUUCCAGCGACUCGAGCGACUCGGAGCACGAACCGACAACGUCGUCGGUCCAGUUAAAUGGCCAUAGUAAGACUAAUGGCAGUCUCUCCAACGGCUCCAGCAAAUCGACUGACGCCAUCGACGAGAUCUUCAAGAGCCUGAAGGGUUACCAGGCCAAGAAGAAAUCCGCCGAUAGCGAGGACGACGACGACGAUGAGGACGAGCCGAACAACCAACUAACCAAUGGAUGGCAUCCACAGAAACAAUCACAGUCACAAAGCAGAUCAGGACCGCCUUCGCCUAAGACGCCACCCUCGCCGGCGGUCAUCAAGUCCAAGACGGGCAUCUGGAAGGUUACCCGCGACGAUGGUGACGACGAUGAAGACGAUGAUGACGACGACGAUGAGGUGGUGGAGGAGGCGAGGGCGGUGCGGACGCCCGUCAAGAAUCAUCGUAAUCCAUUCGCCAGCAGCAAAACCGCCACGGACUCGCCGACAACGCCGGGGGCCAAGCGCCAGAAGCUGCUGAACGGGAGUGCAAUCAAGACCCAGCAACAGCCUAGGGCGGGAAAUGGCUACCAGAGCGAGGCCACCGCGAACGGGGGCACCGUUAACGAGCUACUGAAGCAGUCGCAUCGGGGAUAUAGCUCAUCGGUGCUCAGCUGGAACGGCAAGCCCGCUGAGCUGGAGAAGGAGCCUUUUGUGUUGGUUUGCGCGAAACGGAUAGCUGGUCACGGCAGUUUGGAUGGCAGUGGCAGUGGCAGUAACACCGAUAUCAUCGAUACAGAGAUCCCGGCAGCAGCAGUCAACUUCCCCAGUGGCAGUUGCAGUUUCAGCGCCAGCGCCAGCAGUCAUGACCUGCCAGCCGAUGCACCCGAUCCGGAUCGUCUUAAGGACGGUCGAUUGGAAGCGGAGGCGGAAGCGUAACACUGCCCUAAUGGUUGCCCUUCACAACAUACAACAUAAACAUACAACAUACAACAAAAAAACAAAAAUCUAAAGUCUGUGAUUGCGUUGAGGAUUCCUCAGUGCGGCCCUGCGGCCGACCCGUUCGCCAAGCGUUAAGUCUAGAUGCCUUAAGUUGCAACCGUCAUUGUGUGUGCGUGCCGUGUGUCUGUUGUGUGUGAGUUGUGGGAGCGAGGGACUGCACCCGGAGCACCCAGAGCACCCAGAGUCUAGGUAACCUGAUGAACUCCAUGCACUGAAGCUUAUGACUGCUGACUGGCCUGGCCGUCCGCCAUCCGCGGUCCCGCUUCUAAAAAUAUUUCUCAACCUGCGUAUUUUGAAUGCCAGAUAACCUGUCACCGUGAACCGAAAACCGUAAAUCCUGCUGGCGGAUGCACGGGAUCAGCGUCAGCGGGACCUGGCCGACGACGAGGAGAACGAAAUGGAUCGCGGCAGGCAGCGCAAGGUGAAGUCC
RNAcentral lists this unclassified non-coding RNA (4111 nucleotides) under Drosophila ananassae. Its description in RNAcentral is "GF23992". Lineage: Eukaryota; Metazoa; Arthropoda; Insecta; Diptera; Drosophilidae. The record is from RNAcentral.